AAAAAUCAGACAUUUGAGUCUGUGAACAUGCAACUGUCUCCUUUUCUUUUGCUUCCAGUAGAGCACACCCCCUAUCACCUAAAAAGGCAAGAGUGCAACUGCUAAACGCUACACUGUCUAAGAAUAAACCAGGCUUGCAGUGUCUAAGGUUACCUUGAAGCACCCCAGCAUUUCUCCCGUCUCACGCUCAUGUGAGGCACCAAUAACAUGGGCUAAAUUACCAGCACUUAUUUGCUGCAUCCCCUGCAAGAGCCUGAACUCCCCUGUUUACGGCCAUGCCCUAACAUCCCAUUCUCCCCCAGCCAUGAUCUCAAAUCCGGCACUUUGAAAACCCUCAUCCUGCUUUUCUCACAAGAUUGUGAGGAUUCACCUGUGGAUUAAAUGGGGACAACAAAAAAGAACAUCUUUUCCUGAGUGGGAUUUAACAUCAACUGGGUGAAACGGUCCAAAUAAGAUUGGGAUACACAAGCGAAAUCAAAGGACACUCGGCUGAAGUACCACCAUGGCUCAGGCAACUAAAGGUCCCGUGGUGAAGUCCAUCCCUCCCACUGGUGUAGCUGCCCCGGCUAGAACAGCACACACAGACUCACUUACUGCCGGGAGCCAUGGAAUUUUACGAAUCAUGAAUCGCCCGGCACAGUGGGUGGUCAUCAUCACACUUCUGAUUUCUUGGUCAAUAGCAGGUGUUGUCAUGUUUGAUUUUGUCAGUGACGAUCAGAUUGCAAGCAUCCAGGAUUUUGGCUCUGAUCCAGUGCUAGCAGUGAGCAAGGCCAUCGAAGGCAUUGAAAACUGGAUAAACCAUAUGAACGAUAUGCUUUAUGAUGCUCACGAGUACAUCACUGAAAUAAUAUUUAAUCCGAGGGAAGCUAUUAGUUUAGCAGCUGACUCAUCUGUGUCUUAUCUGUCAGGAAUAUUUAGUGCUGAUGGAGAUUCAGGAGUCACUGAAACAGUGAAAUAUGGUGGCACUGUAUUGGAUGAGGCUACAGAAUGGAUCAGAACCCCAGUGAGCUACUUAUUCCACUUGUUUGAAGACAUAUUGGAUAUAGUGAUUACUCCAGUGGAUAUGGUCACUGAAGUUGCUGUGCAAAUUUUAAGUGGGAUCAAGACCAUUAUACAAUAUAUUUCAACCAUGUUUGGGGGCAUUGAAGGGGAUACAGGCAUCACUGAAACAGUGAAACUUGGUGGUACUUUAUUGGAUGAGGUUACUGAAUGGAUCAGAUUCCCAGUGGGCUACUUAUUCCACUUAUUUGAAGGCAUCUUGGAUGUAGCAAUCAUUUAUCCAGGGGACAUUGCCACUGAAGCAGUUCUGCAAAUUUUAAGUGGGAUCAAGACCAUUUCUUCAACCAUAUUUGGAUACCUUGAAGGUGGUAUUCCUGACAUUAGCUUUGAUCCCAUGAAAGUUGUCACAGACACUGUUGAGGAGUUUGCUGACAGGAGGGAUAUGUUCUUGGCCUAUCUCUCCAACAUGGAAGACAAAGAUGACACACCGCAAGUGAUAAGACGGAAAGGAGAAUUUCUGCCCCCUAUGGAAAAAGUUCUUGAACAAGUGAAAGAAGCCAAAGAGAAAAAAGCUAGAGAGGAGAUAUACAAAAUCAUUCAAGAUAUGAGGGAAAAGAAGGCUGAAAGUAAAGAGGAAGAGAUAACACUGCAACGAAUAAACAUAACAGUAGAAAAAGUCAAGAAGAAAAAGGAGAUAGAAAAGGCUAAAAGAAAAGAAAAAUCCAAAGAGGACAAGACUCGAGAACCAACAGAAAAGGACACCAAGAAAAAAACUGAGAAAAAGGUCAAGGUGACUAAAGUGGGCGAGGAACCCCCUCUAAAAAAGAAGAAAUCUGAAGCUAAAAUGGCCAAAAAAGAGACCAAACUAGCAACAUCUAAGAAAGAGCCUCGAGUUACAAAAGAAAAGGCUAAACCAGCUCGUUCAAAGAAAGAAGCUGAAGUUGCUGUUAAAAAACUAAAACACGCUCCUGCAAAGAAAGAGCCUGAGGUUUCCAAAGAGAAGGCCAAGCUGAAGCCCUCAAAGAAAGAAGCUAAAGCUCCCAAGGACAAAAUUAAACCGGCCCUUUUGAAGAAAGAGCCUGAUGUUUCUAAGGAGAAAGAAAAACCACCAACUGCAAAGAAAGAAGAAAAGCCAACAACCGCUAAAAAAGAGCCUGCAGUUGCAGAAGAGAAAGUCAAACCAGUGCCCUCAAAGAAAGAUACUAAAGCUAUUAAGGAGAAAGUGAAACCAGCCCCAGUUAAGAAAGAGCCUGAGGUUUCCAAAGAAAAAGCCAAGCCAAAACGUUUAAAGAAAGAGGCUAAAUCUGUUGAAGAGAAGGCAAAACCAGCACCAGCUAAAAAAGAGAAGGAGAAACCUCCAAAGAAAGCUGUAAAAGAAAAGCCCAAACCUGCUUCUGUAAAGAAAGAACCUAAAUUUCCAAGAGAGAAAGCAAAACCUAAACCUUCCAAAAAAGAGGCAGAAGUUGCCAAAGACAAGCAUAAACCUGUCACUGUGAAGAAAGAACCUGCUGUUGCAGUUGAAAAGGCAAAACCGAAACCUGCACCAAAGAAAGUUACCAAAGAGAAAGCUAAACCAGAACCUGCAAAGAAAGAACCUGAGAUAACCAAAGAAAAACCGAGAGCACCAAAGAGAAAGGCUCAAGUUAUUAAGGAGGAAGCUAAACCAGCUCCUGCAAAAAAAGUCUUCAAAGAUGUUAAACCAGCCCUUAAGAGAAGAGAGGCUAAAGUAAUGAAGAAGAAAGUUAAACCGACUCCUGUAAAGAAAGAGCCUGAAGUUGCUAAAGAAAAGGCACCUGAAUCAGCACCAAGAAUAGAAAAGCCAAAGCCAGCACCAAAGAUAGUGGCUAAAGUCAUCAAGGAGAAACCUAAACCAGUUCCUGAGAAGAAAGAAGCUGUAAUCAUCAAAAAGAAAGUUAAACUGGCUCCAGUAAAGAAAGCACCUGAGAUAAUCAAAGAAAAGCCAAAGCCAGCACCAAAGAAAGAGGCUGAAGUCAUCAAAGAGAAAGCUAAACCAACUCCUGAAAAGAAAGUCAUCAAGGAGAAACCUAAACCAGUUCCUGAGAAGAAAGAAGCUGUAAUCAUCAAAAAGAAAGUUAAACUGGCUCCAGUAAAGAAAGGUAUGGAUGACAGUGAAAUCACCCUGCAUAUGCGUUUUUUUUUUUUUUUUUUUUUUUGCUGUAUAAUGAUUGUUCAUUACAUGAAUUAAACGGGUUUAUAGAGCCUGAAGUUGCUAAAGAAAAGGCCCAUCGACCGGCACCAAAAAUAGGUUUUCCCAUUGGAAAAAUGAGUAAAAAUACUCAGCAUUUCAAAGGCUAAAUAUAUUAAGAAUUUAUUGUAGUCCUUUGUUUGAAACUGAAAAAUCAGACUGAUUUUCUAAAAUGGUUUGGUUUGAAGUUAAAACCCCAUAUUUUACAGCACCUGAGAUAGUCAAAGAAAAGCCAAAGCCAGCACCAAAGAAAGGUACUGUCAUUUAUUUUUGAAAGACAAUGUCAAAACAUUUUUUUUUCAUAUUUUGGCCAGUUUUAAAAGAAUGGUAAUGAUUUAAAUAUUUUAUAUUAUCAUGAUUUUAGAGGCUGAAGUCAUCAAAGAGAAAGCUAAAGCAACUCCUGAAAAGAAAGAGACCGAAGUCAUCAAGGAGAAAGUUAAACCAGCCCCUGUAAAGAAAGUUAAAGUUCCAAAGGAAAAGACAAAACUUGUCCUUGAAGCAAAGGAACCCAAAAUAACUAAGGAAAAGCCAAAGCCAGCACCAAAGAAAGAAGCUUUAGUCAUCAAAGAGAAAGCUAAACCAGCCCCUGUGAAGAAAGAGUCUGAAAUUAUCAAGGAAGAAAGAAAGAAAGCUAAACCAGCUCCUAAGAAGAAAGUGGCUGAAGUCACCAAGGAGAAAGCUAAGCAAGCUCCGAUGAAGAAAGAGCCUGAAGUCACUAAAGAAAAGUUAUUAGAACCAACUCCAAAAAAAGAGCUCCUGAACUCUAUCAGCCAAAAACUGUCUCUUCUGGAUUUACUGAGGAAGGACAUUGGUGAAAUGAAGAGUGAUCUGGAGUCCACUCAAAAUCAAAUUACGCUUUUACGAAUGGACAACAGAACAAUCAAAGAGCCAAAGACUGUUGGUGUAAAGGUAAAACCAGCAGUCUCCAAGGAAAAGGUCAAAACAGCAAAAAAAGACCAUGAUGCUCUGAUGAACGUUACAGCACAUAUUAAAGCAGAAGCUGAAAUCAUCAAAAAGAUAAAAGAUAAAGUUAAACUGGCUCCUUUAAAGAAAGAACGUGAUGCACUGAAAAACAUCACUAAACCAGCACCUGCAAAGAAAGAUAAAGAGGCUCCAAAAGCUAAGAUCAGACCACAGCCCAAAAAGAAAGAAAUCACCCAUGAGAAGGUCAAACAAGUAAAGGAACCUUUACAGAAAGUCGAGCCAACUAAGAAGGAGGCUGUUGUGGGCAAGGAAGUAAAAGGAGAAGAACCUGAUGUCUCCAAAGAUAUUCCAGAGAUGGAGGAUGAGGAUGUUCCCUACUUCCAGUGUUUCUUUGUGGAUGAGGAUGAUACUCAGUAUCCAUUCUUCCCCUUUUCACCACCGCUGUGGUGAAACUAGCCAAACCUCGUAUUCUGAUGUUAAACAACAUGGCAAAGCCAGUGAAGACGGACCUCUGAACGCUCUGAUGCAGUGGAGAGCUUCACAGUAGGUCCUACAGCAUUACACCAGCAAUGACCAAGAAAUGUGAAAGAGAUUUAAGUUACUUCCUGGAUCUUAAAACUCGAAAACUUCCUUCUCAGAUUCUUUGUCAUUUUGAAGAACAGAGUUUGCAAAUAUUGCGCUAUUUAUUAUAUCAUCUUAAGGCUAUCCAUCUUUUUAUUAAUACCAUGGAUUUGCCUUUUGUUUCUGAAUGAUUACUAUCUAUUUAUGAUUAAUAUAUAUGUCCAAGAAGGACAGGAAGAAAUGAAAGAACUAACUUCCUUUCUGAACAUGCAGUGGGGUUCAGGAUUGUAAGAUUAUAUAGUCUUUUAUAUAAACAUGAGGCGUGACCUCGUUUUGAUGGGGUGCUAAUUCUAAGCAUUCCACUGUGUUUUCUGUCAGAAUGGGGUUUGGAAGUUGUUCACGGUUCGUACAACUGGAAGGAAGGAUAUAAUAAAACAAGAAAUAUGUAAACUAUUUCAUAUAUCCUUUCUUAGUGAUACCGUUUACUAAACUGUUUACAGAAGUAACAGCUGCACUGAGAAAUACGGGCUUUGGACCGUAAGCUCAGUUCCUCAGAAUGUAUACAUCAUUUUAUUUAUAUAUUAUUUUUAUUUUGUUUUAUUCCUCUCUCUUUUUUAGCUUUCCAUACAUUUUACUUAAUAUAACUUGCCAAAUGUUUUAUAAAUCUAUACUUCAGAGGAAACAAAUAUGUUUUGUUCAGUGCUCUUUAUAAAUGAUUUUGCAUAACAAAAUUAAGAUAAGCUGUUGUGCUAAAUCCAAGAAAAAGCAUCAAACAUCAAGGCAACUACGUUGUUCUAGUAUAUCACAUUGCAAACACUACUGUUUUUACUUUUAUCUGCAUAACAUUAAUAGUUUAUUUAAGAUAAUGUCUGUAAAAAUGUGGGUGUGUUUUUGCAAUAUUACAUGGAUAGACCUACCUAAUAGAGAAGAGACAAUUAAAUAGCAUUCUGAAUUGUGUAACAAAAAUUGUCUGUUCCACAUUAUACUCAUACAGAAGAUUUUUUUUUAUUAUUAUGGGAUAAUGUGUCAAAUUAAAUUUAUUGCAUGCAACCACCGUGUGUUUCAACACUGCCCCUGGUGGCUCCCUGGCUCAUUACUCCAUUGCUUGAUUUAAUGAUAUUGAGUGUUUAAUGGUAUGUACUAGUGAGACACACCAUUAAACUAGUGUGCCGGUGGGCUGCCCUGGAGACAUUUCUUUUACUGCCACUGUCUUUUCUGUAUGAGUUCAGCAUGUGGCUCCAUUGAACAUAAACUCAUGUCUGUACAAAGAGCUUUUUUACCUCUGAUGUUAAGUAACUUAGGGUGAUCGUACGUUCUGUUUUUCCCAGACAUGUCCUGGCCAGGAUUUCUAAAUUGCCUAAAAUGUCAUUUUUUUGACUUUCUGAAGGUAAUGACUGUAAAGUAGUUUCACCAGCAUGCAGGCAUUGUGCUUAAUCGACCAGUUGUGGCCUGCGAGAAGGUGGGAUCUACAGAGAAGAGUCAAAGCAGUGCAAAUACAUGUACACAUAAUGUCUGAGGACUCUAGAGAGGAAACGCCAAAACCUGGACAUUUUAGGCAAUGUAGAAAUCCCGAUCAGGAUAUGUCUGGCAAUAAGAGGAUGUAUAGUCAACUGUACAAAUACAUAUUGUAGCAAUGCUCACUUGUAACAGAUAUACAGGUCUUUUUUGGACUUUUUUGGACUUUUCAAGUAAAUUAUGAGCUUGUUGGUGUGUUCUCAAGCAAACUGUGAAGCAAUGAAUAACAGCAUUUUUCAAUAGUUCAUAUAGUUCUUUAAGAUAUGUGUACUGUUAUUUUAAACCUAAUUUACAGUUCAUAUUUGAAAAAUGUUCCUCAAAGAUAAUAGUUUGCAUGAUGUUUGCAUGAAUUUUGUUUAAAAAUGUAUCUAAACCAGACCAUAUUUAAUUUGUGUGUGUUUUUAAUUGGAAUUACAUAAUUUCAUUGAAAAUGUAUAAUGUAAUAUUAUAUUCAUUUGGGUUUGUUUGUUUUUUUGCAUGGUUUUGAAGUUAGAUGUUGAAAACAUUCUCUGUACAAUGUAUAGCCAUAAACUGAAAUCAUAUUUAUAAAGCUCUAAACAGAAUCAACAAUAUGGUCUCCAGUCAAAAAAAAAAAGGCCUGUAUGCAACUGUAAAUGCUAUUGUAACUGUAAUACAGACUUGAUACAGUCUGAUUUAAGUUUUAGAAUAAAUAAAUGUUUGCAAUAAUCAC
Molecule: long non-coding RNA, 6896 nt
Organism: Cyprinus carpio carpio
Lineage: Eukaryota; Metazoa; Chordata; Actinopteri; Cypriniformes; Cyprinidae
Source: Ensembl